UUUAAAAUGAAUAUGAUGUUUCGAAGUAAAAAAUUUCAUACUUGUCGUUGGU
RNAcentral lists this non-coding RNA (52 nucleotides) under Plasmodium falciparum 3D7. Lineage: Eukaryota; Apicomplexa; Aconoidasida; Haemosporida; Plasmodiidae. The record is from RNAcentral.